Molecule: ribosomal RNA, 253 nt
Filed under: uncultured bacterium
Lineage: Bacteria
Description: partial 16S ribosomal RNA
Rfam family: Bacterial small subunit ribosomal RNA
Source: RNAcentral
UACGAAGGGGGCUAGCGCUGCUCGGAAUCACUGGGCGUAAAGGGUGCGUAGGCGGGUCUUUAAGUCAGGGGUGAAAUCCUGGAGCUCAACUCCAGAACUGCCUUUGAUACUGAAGAUCUUGAGUUCGGGAGAGGUGAGUGGAACUGCGAGUGUAGAGGUGAAAUUCGUAGAUAUUCGCAAGAACACCAGUGGCGAAGGCGGCUCACUGGCCCGAUACUGACGCUGAGGCACGAAAGCGUGGGAAGCAAACAGG